This 301-nucleotide ribosomal RNA is filed under the name uncultured bacterium. RNAcentral describes it as "partial 16S ribosomal RNA". It matches the Rfam family "Bacterial small subunit ribosomal RNA", at positions 509 to 807 of the family's 1533-position model. The record is from RNAcentral.
CAGCAGCCGCGGUAAUACGAAGGGUGCAAGCGUUACUCGGAAUUACUGGGCGUAAAGCGUGCGUAGGCGGUGAGUUAAGUCUGCUGUGAAAUCCCCGGGCUCAACCUGGGAAUGGCAGUGGAUACUGGCUCGCUAGAGUGUGUCAGAGGAUGGUGGAAUUCCCGGUGUAGCGGUGAAAUGCGUAGAGAUCGGGAGGAACAUCAGUGGCGAAGGCGGCCAUCUGGGACAACACUGACGCUGAGGCACGAAAGCGUGGGGAGCAAACAGGAUUAGAUACCCCCGUAGUCCCUGUCUCUUAUAC